Molecule: ribosomal RNA, 585 nt
Filed under: Triticum aestivum (bread wheat)
Lineage: Eukaryota; Viridiplantae; Streptophyta; Magnoliopsida; Poales; Poaceae
Description: partial small subunit ribosomal RNA
Source: RNAcentral
AUGGCUUCCCCGGAGCCAUCGGCGGGCGGCGAUGCGGCCAGCCAGAGUGCUGCGGUGCAGCCGCUCCAGCUGCCAACGCCGGAGGAGAUCAAGGGGCAGGAGAUGAUGAACAACUGCGCCGUCCGGAGCGUCCUCAGUGGUGUCAUGGCAGUAGAAAGGUUGCUGUUUGGCGGUGCGCCCCUCUCUGCCCCCCCACCCCACCACCUCCACUAUCAAUUAUUCCUUUUAGCACCGGGAGGUGGUCUUGGUGUACUUAUGGGACUAUUUUUUGGAGCUUUGGAAAAUCCAAUAAUGUCAGAGGAGAUGACAGCAAGGCAACAAAUAGUCUACCAGGCAAAACAGAUGGGUAGGAAAAGUAUGAGCCAUGCUAAGACCUUUGCAGUAAUGGGCUUGAUUUUUUCUGCAGCUGAAUGUGUCGUAGAGAAGGCUCGGGCAAAGCAUGACAUUACCAAUUCGGCAGUAGCUGGCUGUGUCACAGGAGGGGCUUUAGCUGCAAAAGGUGGCCCUCAAGCUACAUGUAUCGGGUGCGUGGGUUUUGGUGCCUUCUCUGUGGCGAUUGAGAAGUUCAUGGAACGGCAUACUUGA